This 2183-nucleotide unclassified non-coding RNA is filed under the name Hevea brasiliensis (rubber tree). The record is from RNAcentral. Lineage: Eukaryota; Viridiplantae; Streptophyta; Magnoliopsida; Malpighiales; Euphorbiaceae.
CGACUAGAUGAAUUCUUGAACCAGGUAAAUUGUUAAGGUUACUUUUUAUAAUACAUAAAUGAUGGCUGACAGCCUAUCUUAUUGCUGGCCUUUUGUGCUCUCUUUGAGAAAAAGAAGUUAUUUAUAGACUUAUGCUUCUCGUACAAGGGAAGGGGGAAAAAGUUAAUUUCCUGGAAAAGCGAAAGGGAAAGGCAGGGCGUUUUUUUCUUUUUGGGUGGGUGGGGAGGUGUUAACACUUGGUCCUUGCUCUUUUGAAAUUAGCAACUGUAGUCCUUGUGUUGUUACAAUAUAAAACAUCUCAUUCCCUCAAAAUCUUUUAUUUUCUUUUACGGUAUCACGGACUAAAAUUGCUAAAUUUGAAAUAUUAGGGACCAAAGUAUAUUUUAAGGAAAAUCUUCCAAAAAAGUAAAGACAAGGUUAUCUAGUUGCAGUGUAUAUUCUGUCAAUGGUUUAUAUGGUUUCUUGGUGUGUGCAACAUUUUAGACAUUAUUAGGCUGGCAGGGGAAAAAAUUGAAGCCUAACAUUGGUAUCUUUUUGACUGGUGCUGCAAAUUGAGAAAUAGAUUGUAUCAACUGAUCUCAACAUAUUAUUUCCACUUCAUUAUUGAUUGUUGCCUUCCUGAAUGUGUUGUAAUCCGUUUCAAAAAGUUGAUAAGAGAGAACUUUUUCCCAAACAAUGUUAUCACUCCAAGAUUAACAUUAUAGGUUUUAUUCAUUAGUGCUUGCAAAUUAAUGAGAUUCAAUCUUCUGGUUUUGUGGUUUUAUUGUGACAAGCUGCUUUAUAGAGUUUUUAUACAGAAACGUGGGUAUAUUAUACACAGGCAUUGCCCAAAGCUUGGGGUAGUAGUAUGUAAAAUUUGAAGGUAAUACAUCUACUUAUUGAAUAGUUAAUCCAGUUAUCCAGAGUUACAGUGGGAUUAUUUUUUGCCAAGCUCUUUCUGAUAUUGUUAUAGGAUGAAAUGUUUGAUAGGCCCUACAAACCUAAUAUAGUAUUAUUUAUAAAAAAGAAUUUCUUGUAAUGAUGGUAAUUAACUCAACUCAACAAAGCCUUUAUCUCAAAAAUUAUUGGGGUCAGCUAUAGUAAUUUGAUUAGUUUAGGUUUUAUUUCCUUGAAUUAAUUCCUACAGUUUUUGGUAUUCCUACCCUAGCUUAGUCAAUUUAUCCAAGUAUAACUAGGUUACUACUCUUGUAAAUACGUAUUUUAUGUACUUGGCAGAGAGGGGAUGGUGAAAUUAAAUAAAAUUUCAUUUCUUUUACACUUUGGUGGACUCCUUUUGGAUUCAAAGAUGUUUGAGGGUUAUAUGUAUUCUUCCUUUGUUUAGCCCUUCCAUUCUUCAUUAAUGAUACACAUGGUAUAUUUAUAUUGUUGGAGGAACUUAAAACUGUGUAUAUAUCUGUUUAGCUAUGACAUGCAAUUCACAGCUGCAUUCACAACUGUUCUCUGCACUGCGCUUGUCACUGCACGUGAAAUUUCCUUUUGUUUCCAACAUGGACAAAGGUUAUUGAUCUUUUCUAGUUCUGGCUUGGUAAAAAAAAUAUGGAUUUUGUUAAGCAGACUACUGGCAUUACCUUAUCAAUUGAAUGGAAAUAUAAUUAAAACAGCUUUUUAAUCAAUGAAAACUACAAUUUUGAAUGCAGUUUGUUUAAGCUUUUUUAGAAUUUUUAUCACUAAACCAUGUCAAAUUUACCUUGUUUUUAUUAUCAUAAUUGACACUACAACAUAUUCAAGUUAGUACUUGACAAAUAUCAUUUCAAAGCCUAACAAACCAUAAUGGUAGGACAUCUGAGACAAUUUUCUCAUUAUUUAGAAAAACCAAUGAUUUCUGAUGUUUCCUGUUUUCUGUUUUUUCCAUUGGGACAUUUCUUGUUAGUAAUUUCCCUAUUUGAUUAUUUCUUGAUGCUGAAAUGAUACAUAUUAAAUUGCGGAAAUUAUGGGUUGAUAUUAUGUUGUCUGUGUGAUACCCGUGUGAAUAUCUGAAAAGCUAACCUUAUUGGGUCAUGGACAGAUUGUUCUUCCUGUUGAGACAUGAAAUUGAUUUGCUAAUGUAUUUCUUGCUAAUUUUCAUGGAAUUAAUUCCAAGUAAUAAUUAAUUACAUCAGGGAAAUUGAAGAAACUGUAGGAUUAUUUUUGGGAUAUAUCUAAUUGCCUUGUCUUCUUCUAGCUGUGUGCGGCUGCUCAAGCUG